UCCUUUUUUAGUACUGAAUACUUCUAUAUCCCUAUAGAAUUUUUUAUGUUAAGAUAAGUAACAAGAACCCCUUUCUCUUCCAAUGUGAGCAUAUAACCCAAUUAACACACGAACUAAAUGUAACAACCCCACCGCCCAAAACCCUACAAAACUCUCUGUUAACCUAACACAAGAACAUUUCAAGAAAGAUUAAAAGAAAAAGAAGGAACUCGGCAAACUACGAUUCCGCCUGUUUACCAAAAACAUCGCCUCUUGCAAAAUAUAAGAGGUCCCGUCUGCCCAGUGACUUAGUUCAACGGCCACGGUAUCCUGACCGUGCGAAGGUAGCGUAAUCACCUGUUUUUUAAUUAAAGACCUGUAUGAAUGACUACACGAGAAUCACACUGUCUCCUCUCUCCAAUCAGUGAAACUAAUCCCCUCGUGCAAAAGCGAGCAUUAUUAUAUAAGACGAAAAGACCCUGUGGAGCUUCAAACACCCAACAUCUAUUAUACACAUCCCCGCAUCUACUCCUACAUAAUAUUAUGAUUGUAAGUUUUAGGUUGGGGUGACCAUGGAGCAUAACCUAACCUCCAAAAUGAACUAAAGUUUCUUUAAUUCAGAACCACAAUUCCACAUAUCAGAAUACUGACAUAAAUUGACCCUUCUUGAUCAAUGAACCAAGUUACCCCAGGGAUAACAGCGCAAUCUACUUUAAGAGCACGUAUCGACAAGUAGGCUUACGACCUCGAUGUUGGAUCAGGG
Molecule: ribosomal RNA, 742 nt
Filed under: Adelophryne sp. 8 IRD-2018
Lineage: Eukaryota; Metazoa; Chordata; Amphibia; Anura; Eleutherodactylidae
Description: partial small subunit ribosomal RNA
Rfam family: Bacterial large subunit ribosomal RNA
Source: RNAcentral